RNAcentral lists this ribosomal RNA (256 nucleotides) under uncultured bacterium. Its description in RNAcentral is "partial 16S ribosomal RNA". It matches the Rfam family "Bacterial small subunit ribosomal RNA", at positions 526 to 779 of the family's 1533-position model. The record is from RNAcentral.
CGUAGGUGGCAAGCGUUGUCCGGAAUUAUUGGGCGUAAAGCGCGCGCAGGUGGUUUAAUAAGUCUGAUGUGAAGCCCAACGGCUCAACCGUGGAGGGUCAUUGGAAACUGUUAAACUUGAGUGCAGGAGAGAAAGUAGGAAUUCCUAGUGUAGCGGUGAAAUGCGUAAGAGAUUAGGAGGAACACCAGUGGCGAAGGCGGCUUUUUGGCCUGUAACUGACACUGAGGCGCGAAAAGCGUGGGGAGCAAACAGGAUU